AUUUGCUUUUAUGAGACUGCAGGCCUACUUUAUUUGUAAUCCAAAGAUCUGGUAUCCUAGCCAAGCUUUCAUAGAUUGAAACUAAGUGAUUUUUGUUGGCAUGUCAUCCAUAUUCAAAUUGGUGUAUUCACGAGAAGUUUUUUGCCCACACCCUUUCUAGAUUGGAACCUACAAUGAUGACACAGAGAAGAAACUUUCAUACUACCUAAGCCAACACCUCAAUCGGUCCUUAGGACCAAUUAUGAACACCUAGAAAUCAAACUCUCUAACCAGUAAAAUUAGUUUUUGAGAGAUGUUUUUUACCAAAAUGUAGAUAAGUGAGGCAAUAAUAAUAGUCCUGCAUCUUCCAAGAAAAGAAUCAGCAACAAAUGCACCGAACAAGGGCAGAAACGACGCUGUGCCUGACCAUACGUUCACAUUCUUAGCCGCAGUAAUGGUUGAUUGACCCAACGGCCCAGUUAAAUACAUUAUUAAGUUGGAAGAGAUUCCAUAAAAAGCAAACCUCUCUGCCACCUCCACACCUGCACUUGUACACCAAACAAGCUAGUUAAAACACAAAAUAAUGGCUUCGGCUGGAUUAAAUAUAGAAAAAGAAACAGCUGUGUUACCUAUAAUGAAAGAUGCAGACCUCCAUCCACCAGAGUUGUAUCUACAAACUGGGUUGCCCUUAUAAUCAACGCAGUCAUCAACAGUGUCGUUUAGGAGUGGAGUUCGGACCUCUUGUGUCUCUGAACUGGAGAGGUUAGAAAUGGACAUCGCAGUUUACUACAGCUACUGAUUACUAGUUAAAAUGACCAGCAAUCACAAUCUUGUUCCAAUUAUGCUAACAUAUGGAGGAUAACAUUUAUAAAGAAUUGCCGUCUUGCUCAGCAAAAUAAUGUUUUGCUUUAUUUGUUAGCUGGAUUGUCAGCCUCUCUUAUUUAUAUAAUAUUAUUACAGGGAAUCAAUCCUUUGUGCUUGGUGUUCAUGAUUGCAGUUCUCCGCCUACUUCUCGGCCGUGUUGCAGGUGCAAUAUAAAAUAAACGAGAAUACCUUUUUUUUAUGUUAAUUGUAUUUAUAUCACCUUCUACUAUUUUAUAAAAUAUUAAUUUACUUUUAAGGGCUCACCUACAACAUAUACUGAGAUGACAUGUUCACACAUUGUCAUCGUGAGUUUAUAAAAAAAUACACCUGAUAGUAUUAUAAUUGUAAAUCAGUAUUAGAUAAAUAAUAAAAACUAAAUGUAUGAUGGAGUAAAUAUUUUAUAACAGAAAAAAAAGUUGUGUUGGUGAUCAAAAACUUAGAAACUAAACAAAAUGAUUUGUAGCAAUCCACAGUGUUUUGUGAGAAAAGAUACAGUGUUUUCACCACAUGAUUUAGUUUUUCUGUAAAUAAAAAGCAAAAAAAAUUACAAAGCUAAAUUCUCUACCAACUUAAUAUUAAAAAAAAAAAACCAACAAGAUAAUUUUGGAAGGAAAAAAAAAACUCAUGAGAAAAAACGUUGUAGCAAUUAACAACGUUUUGUGAGGAAAACUACAGUAUUAUCCCCAAUAAAAUAAAAUAAAAAAACCAUUUAGAGAAAUACUGUAGCAAUCCACAUUGUUUUGUAAGAAAAACUACAACGCUUUUCUCAUAUGAUUUAGCUUUAUCAUAAUUAUAAUUCUUCACCAACUCAAAUUCAAAAAAUAAAUUGACAAAGAUAAUUUUAGAAAAAAUCAUAAACAAAUCAUAUGGGAAAACACUGCAACAAUUCACAGUGUUUUAAAGAAAAAAAUUACAAAGUUAAAUUCUUAAUCAGCUCAAUAUUAAAAAAAAUCGACAGAUAUAAUUUUAGAAAAAAAAAUAACAAAAAAAAAACACAAACAAAAAAGGGGGGAAAUCAUGUUGGAAACACUAUAGCAAUUCAUAGUGUUUUAUGAUGAAAGCUACAGUGCUUCCCCACGUGAUUUAGCCUUAUUUGUAAUGACUUGUAAUUGUAAUUUCAAAAUAGGUCAAUAUUAAAAAAAUAAAAUUGACAAAGAUAAUUUUAAAAAAAUUAUAAGAAAAAAAAUAUGGAGAGACACUGUAGCAAUCCACAAUGUUUUGUGAGGAAAGCUACAGUGUUUUCCCCACAUGAUUAAGCUUUAUUAGAAAGUUAAAUUCUAAACAACUCAAUAUUAAAAAAAAAAUCGACGAAGAUAAUUUUGGAAAAAAAUAUUACAAAAAAAAGAAAACACAAAAGAAACUGAAAAAAAACCAUGUGAUGAAAAACUGUAUCAAUCCAUAGUGUUUUGUGAGGAAAAACUUGUAUUUACUUGUAAUUGCAAUUCUUAACCAGCUUAAUAUUUAAAAAAUAAAAUUGACAAAGAUAAUUUUAGAAAAAAACAUAAUAAAACAGAAAAAAACCAUGUGUUGUAGCAAUCCAAGUAAUUUGCGAGGAAAGUUACAGUGCUUUCCUCACAUAUUGUAACUGUAAUUUUUAACCAGCUCAAUAUUUAAAAAUAAAAUAAAAAAAGAUAAUUUUGGAGAAAAUCAUAAAAAAAAAAAACAAAAAAAACCAUGCGGAGAAAUACUGUAGCAAUCAACAAUGUUUUAAAGAAAAAAAAUUACAAAACUAAAUUCUCAAUCAGCUCAAUAUUAAAAAAAAUCGACAAAUAUAAUUUUGAAAAAUAAAAAAAUAAAAUAGAAAAACUAUGUUGGAAAACACCGCAGAAAUCCACAAUAUUUUAAAGAAAAAAAAUUGCAAAGCAAAAUUUUUAACUAGCUCAAUAUUUAAAAAGUAAAAUCAACAAAAAUAAUUUUGGAAAACAAAAGGAACACAGAGGAAAGUUGAAAAAAAAAAGAAAAGUAAUUUUGGAAAGAAAAAAAAAUGAAAAAGGGGAAAGUUGGAAAAAAAAUGAAAAAAUACAAAAAAAAAAGUAAAAAAAAAAAAGAAAUGCACUGCACCGUGGAUUACAACAGAUUACUGUUGUAAUCCACAAUGCAUUUGGGUGUGGGGAAACAAUGAUUUCCUCACACCAUUUAGUUGUAUGUAUAAUAUCAUAGUACUCUGCCCAUCGUUUUGAAACUCGGCUCGGCCUGGCAGGUCGACUCGGGAUCCAGCUGACCUGGGGCUGGAACCAGGCCGGGUUGCAGAAAAAAUAGGAAAAGUCAUGACUCAGUGUGACCCGGUGACCCGACAAAACCCGGUCAAAAACCCAGUUGCAACCCGUUGACUUUUGUUUUUUUUAACUAAAAUGACGUCGUUUUGAUUUUUUAAAAAAUAGGGAUUGACUCGGGCAACCGGAUGACCCGAUCAAAACCUAGAACACGAGCCUUGGACCGGGCCAGCCACCGGAUCGGGUUUAAAAACAAUGACUCUACCUCCCAUAUUAAUUAUAAUUUUUAUAUAUUUCACCACACUAUUAAAUAUAAAGAUAAAAUGAUUACAUGGUAUACAGAUAGGGUAUAUAGGUCAGGUCAAAUUGACUAGGUUUUAAAAAAUCUUGAUUUAUCACCCGAUUUAUGAAAUUUAUUUUUUAGAUUUUUUUAAUUCAUUAUUAUUUAUAAUAUCUAUAUUAUUUGAUUUUAAUGAAUUGAGUUGGAUUAAAUAAUAUAAAUAUUACGAAAUAACUAGUUUCUUUUAACAUCGUUAUCACCAGAGAGGUUUAAAAAAACCCAAGAAUUUUUAACUAUACAUGCAAGAUUAUGAUGUGAAUUAAUUCGCAACAUAAACAAACAUAAUUAAAAAAUAAUAAUUUCAAACCGAGAAGUAUGGAAGUUGUCGACUUCAUCUGUAGAUGCGAUGCUCCAUCUAAAAAUUUUCGAUUUCAUGUAUAUUCUGAAGAUUUCUAUUUUAAUAAGAGCAAGUCAAAUUCAUUUUGCACUUUGAUUUCAUUAGAUACCUUUCAAUUUCCAGUUUUAAUUCUGUUCGUCCUAUAUCUUAUGAAGAACAAGAAGCUGAUGAAUUUUGAGAAAGCUUCAUUUUCACGAGGGAAAAAUCAUUACAUCAUAAUAAUGCAUUUUUGUGCAAAGAAAAAGUCAUUAAAUCUGCAUUUCCCAAGAUAGCAUAUCAUCCUGGUAAGCAUGUCCCUCCCUCUCUGGCGUGUUGUAGCAUCAUAGUUCAUACAUUUUAAAAAAAACACCAACAAGGUUGAUGAUGCACAACAAUGAACAAGAAAAAUUAAAGCAUGAAAAAAAAAGAAGUUUUUAGAAAAGAAGCUAAGAAUAAAAAGUAAAGAAAGAGAAGAAUGGGAGAUUGGAAAAUAUACGACUUUGCAAUUCUUAUUCAUUCAUCAAAAACUACAUAACAUUUAGAAAAAUAUGAUAUAACUAUUAAAACUCUAACUACAACAAGCGAUUGAACUUAUAGCCCACUAAAUGAAAUGCCCAACAAUAAAUCAAACCCAACAAAUAAAAUAUAAUUAAUAAACUUCAACUAAAAGUUCAUAUAAAUUAAACUAAAACAUAAGCUAAUGUCAAAUCUCUCAAUGGUUUGUGUUAUCUUUCAUUGUCUAUGAUCAUACGCGUGUGUAAACAAUGUUUCGGGUUCGAUGUCCCCACUACUUGACUUUCCUUACAUACAAAAACAAGAAAGUAUCAAUACAAUAAGGAAAAGGAAGCUAUGAUGUUACAGACGCCAAAAGAUCAAAAUCAAUAACAAAAGUGAGAAGAGAGGCAAUGACAAUGGCUAAUGACCGCUAGAAUUUGAAAGAAUCAAAAUACACCGCAUGACCGUUGGAAGAUUUGGGAUUACACAACUACAUUAAACGAAUUGUUUCAUUUAUUCACCCACACGCAUCAUUUUAUUAUGUUUUUCCGGUUAGGAGAGUUAGUUAAGUUGUUUUCCACAUGUCCAUUGAGGCACAAAUCAUGUAAUGUUUGGUAUUUCCUUGGUUUAUAUGUAAUAGAAAUGUCAGAAAGAAAAUGCAUGAAGAAAGAUGAAUUAACUAGUUUUGUCAUCCUAUUUCUUCUCUUUUUCCUCUUUGUUCUAGUCUAAUCUAUAUUGUUCUAUUGUGUUCUUCUCUUCUCAAUUUCUUGAUUUCUAGCUUAAAAUUAUAUUUGCUUAAGCAACAACAUUAUUCUACUGGAUUUCUUCUUAGUUGGGGAUCAUCCCAUUAGACUUACAAUAAGUGGUAUUAGAGCAGUUGAUCCACGACCUAAUACUAUGGCUCUUAAUACUAGAACACAAGAUCUCAAAAAACUAAAAAACUCAUUAGAAGCUGUCAGCAAGGAUCAAACACAAAAUUAUGAACAACUAAUGAAGAUGUUGAAGACUUACAAUCACAAGCUGAAAACUACCAGGACUAACCAUGAAGCAAAGAUCAAUGAACUCGCAAAACUUAUUAGAGGAUUGGCUUAUCAAUUUCUAUAAUUUCUCACUUGUCAACGCACCAAUCUUAUCCAAUAAUAACUGAUUCUAUUGGUCACCCAUUCAUAGGACACCAGUUCCAUUCCAGAACAUUGGACCAACCAUCAGCCCAUUCAAAAGAGCACCAGUUCCAAACUAGAACACUAAUUCAACCAUCAGCCCAAUCUCAGGACACCAAUUCCAAACCAGGACACUGGUCCAAUCAUCAGCCCAUUCACCGGGUGCUAGUCCCAAACCAAGAACUAGUUCAACCAUCAUUCAAACACUACAUAUAAAUGCUAAAAUUUGAACUACAUCUUAUUAGGAGCUAAGCUAAAGAAUUAAAAGAGACUUUAAAUUGGAGAUCUAAGUGUCAGACACCUACCUGAAAUCUUUGCUUUGCUAGCCGUCCCCUGCUCUCGUUUAUUUCCCACAAUCUCACUUGUAUCAAUAGUUACACUAAUUUAAAUUUCGAGUCUUAACCACACAUACGUACUAUUUUCAUUUCCUUCAUAAUUUGACAUUUUAUAAUAAAAAACAAUUCCAAACAGAAGUUAUCAAUUUACAAGUUUUAGGUGGCUCAAUAUAACAGAUACCAAACACUGUUUAGUAGUUUGAGUAUAACCGGAGCUAUAGAACUCGGUUUUAUAUGUGGUUUGUUUUUUGGAACGCUAAAACAUGGUUCUACAACUUUUAUGAAGAUGAAUAUACCUAGUUUUUCCAUCUACAUGCCUAAAUUCACAAAUUUCAAAAACCCAAAAAUUUGUCCUGCUUAUUCCUGGUUUUGGCCUAUCUUCGUUUUUUCUUCCAUAUAUAGUGUUUUGUCACUCCAAUUUAAGCAAGGUCAAUUUCAUUAGAGAGGUAACAUCCAUGUCGACAACUUUCGUGAAGAAAAAUAUCUCAAAUUCUGUCAUCUUAGGGUUCAAAUCUUAGUAGAGAAAUUAAAAGACAAUCUGUCCAGUUUUGAUUUUUAUGUUCAACAAGUAUAAAUUUGUUUCCCAUGCAUUUUUCCAUUAUUUCCAGCUAAACACAAAAUCCUAUCAUUAUUUAACAGACUUCUUAAACAUAUACUAAGGUAUUCUAAAAUCUCAAUUAUUCAAGGAAAACACAAACAAAUUCAAUUGACUUAAUAAGAGAGCUUGUUACCUUCUAUUACAAAGAAAAUAAGUCAAGAGAUUGAGAACAACCGUUUUUCUUCUUACCAUCCCUUCCUUCUUCUAACCCUUCCCUUCCCAGGCUGUAGACACCUGGCGAUGGGGCUGCCAUGCCCUAGGCGCUAAGGCCAAACCCGUGUGCCUGGCUGUAGACCCAGGCGAGCGGGUCUAUAUCCAACACAUGGCAGCCCUAGCGCAUGACUUAAUAUUAUUGUUUGUAUUAUAAAUAUUUUUAUUUUUAUUAUAAUUAAUAUUAUUAAUAUUAAAAAUAUUGUUAUUUUUAUUAUAAUUAAUAUUGUCAAUAUUAAAAAUAUUAUUAUUUGUAUUAUAAAUUUUAUUAUUUUUAUUACAAUUAAUAUCAUAAAUAUUAUUAAAUCCGUUAAUAUUAUUAAAUUUUAAAAAAAAUAUUAUUAUAAAAAAACAUAGAUUUGAUUUGAAGGGCAAAAUCAAUUAUUAUUAUUAUUAUUAUUAUUAUUAUUAUUAUUAUUAACUUGGGUCUGACAUGCCCUUCUAGACUUAAGUUUUUUGAGGCUGGAAAGGUGCGUCUAAUCCAAGUUACUUGAGAGUGGCAUGAGCGCAAACCCAAGUUCCUUGGGUCUUGCAGCCUCACUUGGCCCAAGACACUUGGACAGGUGUUCAAACCCAAAGCUAUUGGGUCCAGUGUCCGAACCCAAGGCUCUUAGGUCCUAUGUCCUGAUCCAAGUCUAAUGGGUCCAGAUUGUAGCCAGACUCAAGACUCUUGAAUCUGUCGUUUAUGAGGGGCUCAAAGCUCUUGGAUCUGGUGUUGCAGACAGACCCACUUAAACUUGGUUAAGUUUAAUAUUAUUAUUAAUAUAAUAAUUAAUAAUUUUGAAAAAAAAUAAUAUUGAAAAACAACUAUAGAUUUGAUUUGAAGGAUAAACUUAAAAAUUAUUAUUAUUAUUAUUAUUAUUAUUAUUAUUAUUAUUAUUAUUAUUAUUAUUAUUUUAUUUGAAAAAAAAUAUUAUUACUAGGGAAGAAAAACCAUAAUUUUUUUAAUAGAUUAAAAAUAUAUGAACUUGAGCUAGAUAAGUUAUAUAUUAUUAUUAAUAUUAUAAAUAUUAUUAUUGGUUCUGAUUUGGCUCUUUGAUCUUUUUUUAUAGACAAACCCAACACUUUUAAAUCUUAGUUUUUUUAAUGUUUUUUAUGGAAAAAAGUUGGCUCGGGGCACCUAACUAGUCUUCAAGCUAAACCAAAUCAGAAAUGGCUCCUCAGCUCAAAAAAAUCUUCAAAACCUCACUAUAUUUUGCUGUCCAAUUUGUUAGAAAUAUUUGAAGCAGUAAAGUAAAAAUGGAAACAUGGAAAGAUACUUUGAAUUUCAUUCAUAUUACAUCACUCUUCUAAAAAACAAAUCCCUAUAGACUUGGAUUUAAACUUACAAUACUCCGCACAUAUAUUUAUACUAAUCUAAAAUAAUUCAAGAGACUUAAAAAAUAAAUAUAUCUAUAAUAAUUAUAUACAUAUACACCUAAAAAAUAAAAGAUACUUUGAAUAAAAAUUUCAAAAUUAAUUUGUGUUGAGACUCCUCUUCAAAACCUCACUAUAAUUAAUUUGUUCAAAGCAACUACCAUUAUCUUCACCAGUGUGGAGAGGAGCAUUAACAAAAUCUUGGCAUGACUUGUGAAAAGAAAGCGACAAUCUUUUGGGAUGUCAAUAUUUUCUUGCAAGUUUCAGAGAAUAUCAGAAAAAUCAUUGAAAGAAAGCAAGUACGAUGAAAAUUCUAAAUCACAUGAUAGAAUUCUGGUCAUUGGUCAGAUAGGAAUUUGUACAAGAAGCAAGCCAAACGAAAAUCUAGCAUUAAAGAUAACAUGUAGCAAAUGCCAAGCUAUCUUGAUGUUAAACCUUUGAAGAUGUUAAUCUCGAAAGCAACAUAUUCCUUUGGCACAGACAAAAUCAAAGAAACAGACUGGUUUUCUCUAUUUCUUGAUGAAACAAACUAACAAGAUUCACCUCUUCCAUCUUUCUGUGUAUUCCAGCAGGAUCCAAAGCAAAUGCAGCACAUUCUGUCUUCAAGAUCGGACAUCAUCUUCCCCGGCUUCGCAUCACGCAGCACAUUUUCUUGACACACAUAAUGCAACUUAUUAACAUUGGACAAGGCUGCAUAACCGGUUGAGCUCAAAUCCGACACCUGCUGAAUUUAAACUGCGUCAACUUAUGAGCUCAUGAGCAUGCAAAUAUCACAACUCAAAAGCUCAGGAUGUCAGCAAGCUGAGAACAACAUAUAUAGGCAACUAAAAUACAAAAACCAGACAAUCAGUCACCAUAUAAAAUACACAUUUAGAAAAUUGUUGCCAAUUACAAAUUUACUGAGACCAUUUACAUUUCAAACAAAAAUGGAUAACCAAAUAUUUUGACCAAUUACAGCAGUGGCAGACUAGCAGCAAACGAGGAUGUUGUGUUCCUUGUAUAUGCCACUCCUCUCCCCACAAGCUACAUGCUUGCAACAAUUGUAAUUGCAGAGAGAUGGUAAUAAGAAAAACAUUGCCUUAGAUUCUCUCAUCCCUACUAUAAAUGUAAAAUCUUGUAUAAUACAUGUACAUAAUCAAUUCCACCACACUUAGCGCAGCAAGUAUCCAAUAAAAAUAAUCAAGAUGAGCCCGGUUCAAAUUAUUGUUGAACCAGCUAUAACAGCCAAUGCCACCAGUCGCUUUCUCAAUCACAGAGAUGAGAAAGCUGCUAAGAAAUUUUCCUACACCAAAGAUACUGAGGUAUAGUGAAAGACCAACACUCUUUAAAUCACUAGGGACCUGAUCAUAGAAAAUUUCUUGCAGACCAACCAUGGUGAAGACAUCAGCAACUCCGAACAAGACAUAUGAAGGAACUAACCACCAAACACUCAUUGGAACAGUCACAUUUGGUUCAUUGACUAGACCAGAUUCUUGAGCGAUUUCGAGCCUUUUCAUCUCAACUAGAGCAGCAAAUGCUAUCGAAACAGCAGAUAAAAACAUCCCAGUUCCAAUUCUCUGAAGCAUUGAAAUGCCAGAUGGUUUCCUUGUUAAAGCUCUUGCAACAGGAACAAAGAGACGGUCAUAGAUAGCAAUACAGAGGAUCAUGGAAAUGCUGCUAAAGCUUUCAAGUGAAGCUGCUGGUAUCUCGAAACCUGGUGAAAUUGAUCUAUCCAUGGUUGCUGCUUGCUUGACAAAGAAAGUUGAGGACUGUGGAAACACAAUUGCAUAUCCCAAGCAUGUAGUCCAUAUUGGAAUAAGCCUGAGUACUGCCUUGGCUUCUUCAACAUCACGAAAGGUACAAACCUUCUGAUCUUCUUUUGAGCCAUCUGUUGUAAGCAGCGCAUUGUUUAGGAACCUGGAAUCAAUUUUUAUCUUAGAGAAGCUUGAUAUGGUAAAGCAAAAGGUCUUUUGAGUAAAACUUCACUGAUUCAAGACCACAGAGAGCAGAAGUAAUCUCCCACUUGAUAAAAUAUCAUAGAGCAUCAAUACUUAAUCUAUAUGGUGACAUGAAAUCACUCCCUUCUGUACCGUAAUCAGUGUUACAAUCUCCACUGGUUGAUGCAAAUCAACAAGCACACUAAGACAAUACAGCAUCUUAGACCCAUAUCAACAAAUAAUUAAGUGUAUCUCCUAACAAAAUCUAAAUUUGAUAUCAUCAAACAAUUGCCAAGGAUAACAAACAGCCGUUUAAUGAUGCUAAUAGCACAUAAAUCAGAGACAUUUCAGAGGUGAUUAACUGUUCUGUGGAAAGUAUUAAAAGUGCAAGGCGCACUUAAGCACCACGGCUAUUAGAGGCUAGGCUGCAGGAUCUCCACCUACUACAAUGCACUUUGGAUCCCCAAAAUGAAUCACGGUGAUAUUACUAGUUUUCCAUACGAAGGGUUAAAUAGAAUAUCAGAGCUCAGAUUGCUAUCACAAUACGAUAUCAUGGACUUUGCAUUUGAUCCUAACUGGUUAAAGCUCACAAAAUAAAGUAUUUUCAAUCAAUGUCUUACUUAAAAAUUCCCAUCUAAUGAAAAUCUUCAGGUCAACUAGAAGCAAUUUGUGUUUAAUUUUUAACCUCAAAGACACGAUAAAUUCUCUUACUUGAACUGCUCAUAACUUUGGUGAGGUACAGUUCCACGACCUUCUUCCUCAGAAGCUAUUGAGGAAGGAGUAAAUCGCCAAUUCCUGAAAGCUGCCACAAAGACCCGAGUAAUUCUCAAAAGUGCGUUGUUCCCUUCCCUUUUAACACUGUACCGAUAUUUCUUUGAUCCCAGUAAGAAGAUGAUCAGUGCACAGAUCAUCAUAAUGCAUGGGAUUCCAAAUCCAAGACUCCAACUAAGAUUGUCUUGAAUGUAUGUUAAAACCAGUAGUGAUACUAAGAUGCCUGAACUCAUAAAAAAAUACCACCAAUUGAAGAAUGAGCUUUUGGAUUUGUACUCUUUGGUGUCUUGUCUAUCAAAUUGAUCCGCUCCAAAAGCCUGGACACAAGGCUUGUGCCCACCUUGGCCAAGUGCUACUAGAUAGAGAGCAAUAAAUAAUAAAAUCACUUGCAGUGUAUUAGAAGAACAGGACAUACUGUCACUUUGACAGUCAGAUGUAGGAAGCAUAGCUGAUAGAGUCAACAAGCCAAGUCCCUACAAUUAAAUUCAAAACAUGACAGAAACUUUAAAGCCAAAGCUGAACAGCAUAAGUUUAUUAAUUUCCAGGAAUCAUGAACAAAUUGUUUACCCACUCCUCAAGAACAGAAAAGAAAGGAUAAGUAUGUAGUAUCUUGUGUCUUAAAGACAUUACACAAUCAUGCUGACUAUUUAAUAGGGUAGGUUUAAAAUCCUUAAUUUAUGUCCAGCCAAUCCAAAUAGAGAUCAAGAAAACAAACCUAAAGGAAGAUGUUAUCAACCUGUGAACUCAGGUUUGGUUUCAAUGAAAGAAACUGCAACCAAUACGAAGUAUAGCAGGCAAUUACUGAACUUUGGCCACAACUAUCUCAAUUCCUCCCGAAUAGACUAUAGUUCAGUUGAUUCUUGCAAAGAUUAAGCUUUGAGAACUGUUUUCAAUUUCCAAAUACCUUGGUACUUGAAAUAAACCCAAGAUAGUUAAAAGGGUCAGGUGAUCAAGAAAUUUGCAGGAAGGAGUGCUGUUUCGCCAAUGCACAACUUUGUUUAAGCUGUCAAUUCUUUACUACAUGUGUGCGUGUGUGUCAUCCAUAGUUUACUAAAAUGAUGGGACUCGAAGCCAAUGUAGAUGGCGACUGUCAUCUCAAUUCUCGAGGAUCUCAAUUCUCGAGGACUAGAAUAUUUACUUGAGUUACUCAACAAUCAUAGAUGAAUAUUUUCCUUUUAGAAAACUCAGCUAAAUCUAAGAAAAAUAGCUGAGCAGAUACAUCAGCUAACUUAGGUUGAUGAUACUCAAAAAAUAAAAUAAAAUAAUAAAUAAAAAUCAGAACUUUUUUAUUUGCUUUUAUGAGACUGCAGGCCUACUUUAUUUGUAAUCCAAAGAUCUGGUAUCCUAGCCAAGCUUUCAUAGAUUGAAACUAAGUGAUUUUUGUUGGCAUGUCAUCCAUAUUCAAAUUGGUGUAUUCACGAGAAGUUUUUUUCCCACACCCUUUCUAGAUUGGAACCUACAACGAUGACACAGAGAACAAACUUUCAUACUACUUCAUACUA
This 12055-nucleotide long non-coding RNA is filed under the name Populus trichocarpa (black cottonwood). Its description in RNAcentral is "long non-coding RNA (PTRI_LNC003118)". The record is from RNAcentral. Lineage: Eukaryota; Viridiplantae; Streptophyta; Magnoliopsida; Malpighiales; Salicaceae.